RNAcentral lists this ribosomal RNA (449 nucleotides) under uncultured organism. RNAcentral's name for it is "partial 16S ribosomal RNA". It matches the Rfam family "Bacterial small subunit ribosomal RNA", at positions 332 to 797 of the family's 1533-position model. The record is from RNAcentral.
UACACUCCUACGGGAGGCAGCAGUGGGGAAUAUUGGACAAUGGGCGCAAGCCUGAUCCAGCCAUGCCGCGUGAGUGAUGAAGGCCCUAGGGUUGUAAAGCUCUUUCACCGGUGAAGAUAAUGACGGUAACCGGAGAAGAAGCCCCGACUAACUUCGUGCCAGCAGCCGCGGUAAUACGAAGGGGGCUAGCGUUGUUCGGAUUUACUGGGCGUAAAGCGCACGUAGGCGGACUAUUAAGUCAGGGGUGAAAUCCCGGGGCUCAACCCCGGAACUGCCUUUGAUACUGGUAGUCUUGAGUUCGAGAGAGGUGAGUGGAAUUCCGAGUGUAGAGGUGAAAUUCGUAGAUAUUCGGAGGAACACCAGUGGCGAAGGCGGCUCACUGGCUCGAUACUGACGCUGAGGUGCGAAAGCGUGGGGAGCAAACAGGAUUAGAUACCCCAGUAGUCCCA